Molecule: unclassified non-coding RNA, 329 nt
Filed under: soil metagenome
Description: partial contains 5.8S ribosomal RNA, internal transcribed spacer 2, and large subunit ribosomal RNA
Rfam family: 5.8S ribosomal RNA (bases 1-120)
Source: RNAcentral
GAUGAAGAACGUAGCGAAAUGCGAUCAGUAGUGUGAAUUGCAGAAUUCAGUGAAUCAUCGAAUCUUUGAACGCACAUUGCGCCCCUUGGUAUCCCGAGGGGCAUGCCUGUUCGAGCGUCAUUUCACCACUCAAGCCUGGCUUGGUGUUGGGCGACGUCCCCUUUGGGGACGCGCCUCGAAACGCUCGGCGGCGUGGCACCGGCUUUAAGCGUAGCAGAAUCUUUCGCUUUGGAAGUCGGGGCCCCGUCUGCCGGAAGACCUACUCGCAAGGUUGACCUCGGAUCAGGCAGGGAUACCCGCUGAACUUAAGCAUAUCAAUAAGCGGAGGA